This 317-nucleotide long non-coding RNA is filed under the name Amborella trichopoda. RNAcentral's name for it is "long non-coding RNA (ATRI_LNC000309)". The record is from RNAcentral. Lineage: Eukaryota; Viridiplantae; Streptophyta; Magnoliopsida; Amborellales; Amborellaceae.
GCAAAUAUGUGAUUUUGCAUCAAGGUAGAGAUUGUUGGGACGUGAUGUCAAAUCACAAUCCCAUGGUAUUUUCAUUAUGAUGAGGGCUAUUUUAGUCAUAAUGAAAAGGUUCUUUCUCAUAAAGCUUUAUUGCUCAUUAAGUUGGGUGAAAAGAAGAGGGCGAGAAAGUGAAAGAUAUAGAGUGAAGGUUGGCAAGAAAAUUUGGAGGUUUUUACUACAAAACCCAAGUACAACCAUUUGGGUUUGAGUUGAGCCAUUUUAUCGGUAUUUCUUCGCGGCAUCGGUGAAUCGAAGAAGAGUCGAUUGUAGGUAGUUUU